Molecule: ribosomal RNA, 371 nt
Filed under: uncultured eukaryote
Lineage: Eukaryota
Description: partial 18S ribosomal RNA
Rfam family: Eukaryotic small subunit ribosomal RNA
Source: RNAcentral
GCUUAGCAUAUAUUAUUGAUGUUGCAAUUAAAACGUUCGUAGUCGACUUUUCUCUACUGAUGUGAGUGGAAUCUUUGAUUCCACUUCACUGAUGGUAGAUAUCGUGUAGCUAUAUACCUCAUAUGUUCUAUAUGAGGUUUAUAUGCUAUACAUUACUUUGAGUGAAUCGGCGUGUUCCACGCAGGCUAAUGCCUUGAACGAUUUACCAUAGUAUAAAUACAUUAUAACAAUGUUUCUCCGUUCGUUCGGAAAUAUUGUUUAUAAUGAAAAGAACGGUCGAGGGCAUCCAUAUUCAACUGCUAGAGGUGAAAUUCUUUGACCAGUUGAGGAUGAACAACGGCGAAAGCAUCUGCCAAGAACGUUUCUGUUGA